AUUGAACGCUGGCGGCAGGCCUAACACAUGCAAGUCGAGCGGAUGAAGGGAGCUUGCUCCUGGAUUCAGCGGCGGACGGGUGAGUAAUGCCUAGGAAUCUGCCUGGUAGUGGGGGAUAACGUCCGGAAACGGGCGCUAAUACCGCAUACGUCCUGAGGGGGAAAGUGGGGGAUCUUCGGACCCCACGCUAUCAGAUGAGCCUAGGUCGGAUUAGCUAGUUGGUGGGGUAAAGGCCUACCAAGGCGACGAUCCGUAACUGGUCUGAGAGGAUGAUCAGUCACACUGGAACUGAGACACGGUCCAGACUCCUACGGGAGGCAGCAGUGGGGAAUAUUGGACAAUGGGCGAAAGCCUGAUCCAGCCAUGCCGCGUGUGUGAAGAAGGUCUUCGGAUUGUAAAGCACUUUAAGUUGGGAGGAAGGGCAGUAAGUUAAUACCUUGCUGUUUUGACGUUACCAACAGAAUAAGCACCGGCUAACUUCGUG
This 484-nucleotide ribosomal RNA is filed under the name uncultured bacterium. RNAcentral's name for it is "partial 16S ribosomal RNA". It matches the Rfam family "Bacterial small subunit ribosomal RNA", at positions 30 to 507 of the family's 1533-position model. The record is from RNAcentral.